GCUGAUCCCCACAACAUGUACUUAAAACAACUACCAUUUAUAUUGCUAAAUUCAAUUAUCUAUCCAUCUAUUAUAAACAUUAAUCUUACUUAAAAAUUAUAAAUAUAUGUAAAAUUAAUAUGAUUUUAUACCUAAAGUAAUUUUAUAGUAGUGUAAUAUAUGGAAACCAUAUCUGGAACAACGCAUGCACAUGACAUUAAUCAUUGUAAGACCCGAAUUUUGCCCGGCCCAUAGGAAAACCAAAAUCAAACACAAAAAUUAAACAGUCCAUCAAAUAGGUUCGGUUUACAAGCCCAAAAUUUUACAAUGGCCCGAUAGGCCCAAAUUUUUAGGGUUUCAGAAACCCUAAGUUCCCCUUUUGCACAGCAGCCCCACGCCGCAAUCCCCACUUCGGCACUCCACGCACGAUCCCCGUGCGCCUCGCUCCAUGUUUGCGCCCAUAAUCCAUGCCCCUCGUUCUCCACAACUUCACGGCCUGCAAGUUGGACAAGGAAGCAGUAGAAACUGCUUGUAUUUUGGCUAUAAAGCCUUUGAUUUUUCAUUUUAAAGGGGUUUUUCUUUUUUUUUGAAAUACAAAAGAUACCAAAAAAGAGAGUAAAAAGCAGCCAAGAAAAUAUUUCUAAGGUGGUUAUUUUAUCAUUUUCUUUUCCCGUUCUUUUGCUUGAUUUUUAUUUCCAUUCAAAUCCGAAAAUAUGAAAUAAAAGGGGAAAGGGUGAGUACCUCUCGAUUCGCUUCGCAAGAGGGGUUCUCCGGCCCUCUGUUGGUCGUCACAGAGGCAAAUGAAGGCUUGGUGUUGGCCUUGUUUGCGGCUGGAAGAAAGAGGACAGUGGGGAGAAGAAAGAGUUUAGGGUUUUUUAGAAAAAAAGAAAUCAAAGUUAAAGUUUUUUUAGCAAAAAAAAAAAAAAGACUUUAAAACUAGCUUUUGUUUUUAAUAAUAAAAUAAAUGGUUGUUAAAAGCAGUAGCAUUUUGGAAAGGCCCGCGUGUUGACCCAAUUCACAGGCUGGGUCCACGUACUUUCAUUUUAAAGGGGAAAUUUUCGCUUCCAGUCCUU
RNAcentral lists this long non-coding RNA (1052 nucleotides) under Gossypium barbadense (sea-island cotton). RNAcentral's name for it is "long non-coding RNA (GBAR_LNC008440)". Lineage: Eukaryota; Viridiplantae; Streptophyta; Magnoliopsida; Malvales; Malvaceae. The record is from RNAcentral.